AAAGAACUACAUUUCCCAGCAAUCCCUUGACAGCAAUCAACAGGAAAGGCAGGGGUAGGGAGUGAGGUAGCUGAUCCAUGCUGCGAGUCAAAAGGGGUGGCACUGUGAAUGGGGAACAAGUGUGCCCAAGGAGUAGAAGGCUUUGCCCCAGAUAUCCCCUUCAGAAGACUUCCCCAGACUGCUUUAGGGAUACUGGUGUGACCUUAUCUUGCAGCUCACAAAGAAGGAAUUGAGUGGACUAAAUGGACAGUGCACAUCUCUAUCUGAAGCUUAGUAAAGGAGAAUAAUCACAGAAAUCACUAACUACAAUGCUGAGAAAACAGAUUCUUGUUUGUGGAUGAAAGAGAGAAUUCAAAGGACCCUACAGAUGUCUGACAUUUUGAAGGAAAGGGUUUUGUACUACACAGUAUGGCCUCAGUUCUGCAAAGAGAUGCAUAUAACCAGGGUUUUGGAGCGGAGCCUGGAGCUGGAAAGUGGAGCAGUUCCGGAGAAGUGGAGCUGCAGGUUUUUGCCUGGAGCUGGAGCAGAGCCGGAGCACAGCUCCAAAGCCCUGCAUAUAAGUGGAUCCACCAUGUUUUUCUUCACUGAAGUAUAUCUGUGUGCAUUUCCUUCCAGGAUUGAGACCUGUUCCUCUAAUGUUGUUGCAUAGUAUAUGCUGCAUUAUCUAGGCAUGUAACUACAAUGGAAUGUACAAAGUUAUCUUAGCAUGGGACUCCUCAAACACACUAAGCCAAACCCUGAAGUCCUUAUCUGGAGCUUAAUCAGCCACAGUGAGACAAGGCAGAGUUUGGUUACUAUAAUUAACCCCCUCUCAAAUUAGGCAUAGUUCUAGUUACAAACCAAUCACCUCCGGUAAUUACUAUUUCCUUAGUAAGCAUGAGGAAGGAAAAUAUUACAUCAUGAUUUUGUUUCUCUCAGAUAAAAUAAUCACAGAAGACAUUAGCUAUAUUGCUGAGAGAAAAGGCUCCUGUUUAUGUCUGAGACACAGAAUAUUGC
Gopherus evgoodei (Goodes thornscrub tortoise) is the source of this 996-nucleotide long non-coding RNA. RefSeq lists it as uncharacterized. NCBI's taxonomy places the organism in Eukaryota, Metazoa, Chordata, Testudines, Testudinidae. The transcript is spliced from 3 exons. The record is from RefSeq and is a predicted model, not a curated record.